ACUCCUACGGGAGGCAGCAGUGGGGAAUUUUGGACAAUGGGCGAAAGCCUGAUCCAGCAAUGCCGCGUGAGUGAAGAAGGCCUUCGGGUUGUAAAGCUUUUUUGUCAGGGAAGAAACGGUGAGAGCUAAUAUCUCUUGCUAAUGACGGUACCUGAAGAAUAAGCACCGGCUAACUACGUGCCAGCAGCCGCGGUAAUACGUAGGGUGCAAGCGUUAAUCGGAAUUACUGGGCGUAAAGCGUGCGCAGGCGGUUUUGUAAGUCUGAUGUGAAAUCCCCGGGCUCAACCUGGGAAUUGCAUUGGAGACUGCAAGGCUAGAAUCUGGCAGAGGGGGGUAGAAUUCCACGUGUAGCAGUGAAAUGCGUAGAUAUGUGGAGGAACACCGAUGGCGAAGGCAGCCCCCUGGGUCAAGAUUGACGCUCAUGCACGAAAGCGUGGGGAGCAAACAGGAUUAGAUACCCGAGUAGUCCCAUG
This 473-nucleotide ribosomal RNA is filed under the name uncultured organism. RNAcentral's name for it is "partial 16S ribosomal RNA". It matches the Rfam family "Bacterial small subunit ribosomal RNA", at positions 335 to 799 of the family's 1533-position model. The record is from RNAcentral.